GCCAGACUCCUACGGGAGGCAGCAGUGGGGGAUAUUGCACAAUGGGGGGAACCCUGAUGCAGCGACGCCGCGUGGGUGAAGAAGCGCCUCGGCGCGUAAAGCCCUGUCAGCAGGGAAGAAAAUGACGGUACCUGAGUAAGAAGCCCCGGCUAACUACGUGCCAGCAGCCGCGGUAAUACGUAGGGGGCAAGCGUUAUCCGGAUUUACUGGGUGUAAAGGGAGCGUAGACGGCAGUGCAAGUCUGGAGUGAAAGGCGGGGGCUCAACCCCCGGACUGCUCUGGAAACUGUACGGCUGGAGUGCAGGAGAGGUAAGUGGAAUUCCUAGUGUAGCGGUGAAAUGCGUAGAUAUUAGGAGGAACACCAGUGGCGAAGGCGACUUUCUGGACUGUACCUGACGCUGAGGCGCGAAAGCGUGGGUAGCGAACGGGAUUAGAUACCCCAGUAC
Molecule: ribosomal RNA, 446 nt
Filed under: uncultured bacterium
Lineage: Bacteria
Description: bacterial SSU rRNA
Rfam family: Bacterial small subunit ribosomal RNA
Source: RNAcentral